This 253-nucleotide ribosomal RNA is filed under the name uncultured bacterium. RNAcentral's name for it is "partial 16S ribosomal RNA". It matches the Rfam family "Bacterial small subunit ribosomal RNA", at positions 524 to 776 of the family's 1533-position model. The record is from RNAcentral.
UACAGAGGGGGCAAGCGUUAUUCGGAAUUAUUGGGCGUAAAGGGCGCGUAGGCGGCCUGUUAAGUCGAACGUGAAAUCCCCGGGCUCAACCCGGGAACUGCGUCCGAGACUGGCAGGCUCGAAUCCGGGAGAGGGAUGUGGAAUUCCAGGUGUAGCGGUGAAAUGCGUAGAUAUCUGGAGGAACAUCGGUGGCGAAGGCGGCAUCCUGGACCGGUAUUGACGCUGAGGCGCGAAAGCCAGGGGAGCAAACGGG